GACGAACGCUGGCGGCGUGCUUAACACAUGCAAGUCGAACGGAAAGGCCCCUUUGGGGGUCCUCGAGUGGCGAACGGGUGAGUAACACGUGAGUAACCUGCCCUUGACUUCGGGAUAACUUCAGGAAACUGGGGCUAAUACCGGAUAGGAAUCCUUGCUGCAUGGUGGGGGUUGGAAAGCUUCGGCGGUUUUGGAUGGACUCGCGGCUUAUCAGCUUGUUGGUGGGGUAGUGGCUUACCAAGGGUUUGACGGGUAGCCGGCCUGAGAGGGCGACCGGCCACAUUGGGACUGAGAUACGGCCCAGACUCCUACGGGAGGCAGCAGUGGGGAAUAUUGCACAAUGGGCGGAAGCCUGAUGCAGCAACGCCGCGUGCGGGAUGACGGCCUUCGGGUUGUAAACCGCUUUCAGCAGGGGCGAAGCUUGUGGUGACGGUACCUGCAGAAGAAGCACCGGCUAACUACGUG
Molecule: ribosomal RNA, 465 nt
Filed under: uncultured bacterium
Lineage: Bacteria
Description: partial 16S ribosomal RNA
Rfam family: Bacterial small subunit ribosomal RNA
Source: RNAcentral